CCUACGGGACGCAGCAGUGGGGAAUAUUGCACAAUGGGCGCAAGCCUGAUGCAGCCAUGCCGCGUGUAUGAAGAAGGCCUUCGGGUUGUAAAGUACUUUCAGCGGGGAGGAAGGUGUUGUGGUCAAUAACCACAGCAAUUGACGUUACCCGCAGAAGAAGCACCGGCUAAGUCCGUGCCAGCAGCCGCGGUAAUACGGAGGGUGCAAGCGUUAAUCGGAAUUACUGGGCGUAAAGCGCACGCAGGCGGUCUGUCAAGUCGGAUGUGAAAUCCCCGGGCUCAACCUGGGAACUGCAUUCGAAACUGGCAGGCUAGAGUCUUGUAGAGGGGGGUAGAAUUCCAGGUGUAGUGGUGAAAUGCGUAGAGAUCUGGAGGAAUACCGGUGGCGAAGGCGGCCCCCUGGACAAAGACUGGCGCUCAGGUGCGAAAGCGUGGGGAGCAAACAGGAUUAGAUACCCUAGUAGUC
This 465-nucleotide ribosomal RNA is filed under the name uncultured bacterium. RNAcentral describes it as "bacterial SSU rRNA". It matches the Rfam family "Bacterial small subunit ribosomal RNA", at positions 338 to 795 of the family's 1533-position model. The record is from RNAcentral.